CCAAUAGCGUAUAUUAAAGUUGUUGCAGUUAAAAAGCUCGUAGUUGAAUUUCGGGGUUAGCAGGUUGGUCAUGCCUCUGGUAUGUACUGGUCUCACUGAUUCCUCCUUCCUGAUGAACCGUAAUGCCAUUAAUUUGGUGUUGCGGGGAAUUUGGACUGUUACUUUGAAAAAAUUAGAGUGUUUAAAGCAAGCUAACGCUUGAAUACAUUAGCAUGGAAUAAUGAAAUAGGACGUUCGAUCCUAUUUUGUUGGUUUCUAGGAUUGACGUAAUGAUUAAUAGGGAUAGUUGGGGGCAUUAGUAUUCAAUUGUCAGAGGUGAAAUUCUUGGAUUUAUUGAAGACUAACUACUGCGAAAGCAUUUGCCAAGGAUGUUUUCAUUAAUCAAGAACGAAAGUUAGGGGAGCGAAGACGAUCAGAGACAGUAGUAGUCUUAACCAUAAACUAUGCCGACUAGGAAUCAGAUGAUGUUAAUUUUUUAAUGACUCGUUUGGCACCUUACG
RNAcentral lists this ribosomal RNA (500 nucleotides) under uncultured Glomeromycotina. RNAcentral describes it as "partial small subunit ribosomal RNA". It matches the Rfam family "Eukaryotic small subunit ribosomal RNA", at positions 591 to 1092 of the family's 1831-position model. The record is from RNAcentral. Lineage: Eukaryota; Fungi; Glomeromycota.